Molecule: ribosomal RNA, 433 nt
Filed under: uncultured bacterium
Lineage: Bacteria
Description: partial 16S ribosomal RNA
Rfam family: Bacterial small subunit ribosomal RNA
Source: RNAcentral
AACGAACGCUGGCGGCAUGCCUAACACAUGCAAGUCGAACGAGACCUUCGGGUCUAGUGGCGCACGGGUGCGUAACGCGUGGGAACUUGCCCUUAGGUUCGGAAUAACUCCCCGUAAGGGGUGCUAAUACCGGAUAAUGUCUUCGGACCAAAGAUUUAUCGCCUUUGGAUGGGCCCGCGUUGGAUUAGCUAGUUGGUAGGGUAAAAGCCUACCAAGGCGACGUUCCUGAGCUGGUCUGAGAGGAUGAUCAGCCACACUGGGACUGAGACACGGCCCAGACUCCUACGGGAGGGAGCAGUGGGGAAUAUUGGACAAUGGGCGCAAGCCUGAUCCAGCAAUGCCGCGUGAGUGAUGAAGGCCUUAGGGUUGUAAAGCUCUUUUACCCGGGAUGAGAAUGACAGUACCGGGAGAAUAAGCUCCGGCUAACUCCGUG